GCCUAACACAUGCAAGUCGAACGAGACCUUCGGGUCUAGUGGCGCACGGGUGCGUAACGCGUGGGAAUCUGCCCUUGGGUUCGGUAUAACAGUGAGAAAUUACUGCUAAUACCGGAUGAUGUCGCAAGACCAAAGAUUUAUCGCCCAGGGAUGAGCCCGCGUAGGAUUAGCUAGUUGGUGAGGUAAAGGCUCACCAAGGCGACGAUCCUUAGCUGGUCUGAGAGGAUGAUCAGCCACACUGGGACUGAGACACGGCCCAGACUCCUACGGGAGGCAGCAGUGGGGAAUAUUGGACAAUGGGCGAAAGCCUGAUCCAGCAAUGCCGCGUGAGUGAUGAAGGCCUUAGGGUUGUAAAGCUCUUUUACCCGGGAUGAUAAUGACAGUACCGGGAGAAUAAGCCCCGGCUAACUCCG
This 413-nucleotide ribosomal RNA is filed under the name Sphingomonas asaccharolytica. RNAcentral describes it as "bacterial SSU rRNA". It matches the Rfam family "Bacterial small subunit ribosomal RNA", at positions 46 to 505 of the family's 1533-position model. The record is from RNAcentral. Lineage: Bacteria; Pseudomonadati; Pseudomonadota; Alphaproteobacteria; Sphingomonadales; Sphingomonadaceae.